GAGACCCACGCCAACAGUUGCCAGCAUGUCCUCCGGGAUGGUGGGGACACUGUUGGGACCGCCUCUGCUAAAGAGGAGGAAGGAAUGGGCAACGGUAGGUCAGCAUGCCCCGAAUUAUCCGGGCUACACGCGGGCUACAAUGGUCAGGACAAUGGGUAUCAACACCGAAAGGUGAAGGCAAUCUCCUAAACCUGUCCUUAGUUCGGAUUGUGGGCUGCAACUCGCCCACAUGAAGCUGGAAUCUGUAGUAAUCGCGUCUCAAAAUGGCGCGGUGAAUAU
This 279-nucleotide ribosomal RNA is filed under the name uncultured archaeon. RNAcentral's name for it is "partial 16S rRNA". It matches the Rfam family "Archaeal small subunit ribosomal RNA", at positions 1047 to 1325 of the family's 1478-position model. The record is from RNAcentral.